RNAcentral lists this transfer RNA (73 nucleotides) under Pangasianodon gigas (Mekong giant catfish). RNAcentral's name for it is "tRNA-Gln". Lineage: Eukaryota; Metazoa; Chordata; Actinopteri; Siluriformes; Pangasiidae. The record is from RNAcentral.
GCCUGGCUAGCUCAGAUGGUAGAGCAUGGCAGACCUGAUCUCAGGAUUGUGGGUUUGAGCCCUAUGCUGGGUC